RNAcentral lists this ribosomal RNA (447 nucleotides) under uncultured bacterium. Its description in RNAcentral is "partial 16S ribosomal RNA". It matches the Rfam family "Bacterial small subunit ribosomal RNA", at positions 29 to 523 of the family's 1533-position model. The record is from RNAcentral.
AGCGAACGCUGGCGGCAGGCUUAACACAUGCAAGUCGAACGCCCCGCAAGGGGAGUGGCAGACGGGUGAGUAACACGUGGGAACGUACCCUUUGGUUCGGAAUAACUUGGGGAAACUCAAGCUAAUACCGGAUAAGCCCUUAUGGGGAAGGGUUUACUGCCGAAGGAUCGGCCCGCGUCUGAUUAGCUAGUUGGUGAGGUAAUGGCUCACCAAGGCGACGAUCAGUAGCUGGCCUGAGAGGAUGAUCAGCCACACUGGGACUGAGACACGGCCCAGACUCCUACGGGAGGCAGCAGUGGGGAAUAUUGGCCAAUGGGGGCAACCCUGAUCCAGCCAUGCCGCGUGAGUGAUGAAGGCCUUAGGGUUGUAAAGCUCUUUUACCCGGGACGAUAAUGACUGUACCGGGAGAAUAAGCCCCGGCUAACUUCGUGCCAGCCGCCGCUGUAA